GGGUUGUGAGGUUAAGCGACUAAGCGUACACGGUGGAUGCCCUGGCAGUCAGAGGCGAUGAAGGACGUGCUAAUCUGCGAAAAGCGUCGGUAAGGUGAUAUGAACCGUUAUAGCCGGCGAUGUCCGAAUGGGGAAACCCAGUGCAAUUCGUUGCACUAUCGUUAACUGAAUACAUAGGUUAACGAGGCGAACCGGGGGAACUGAAACAUCUAAGUACCCCGAGGAAAAGAAAUCAACCGAGAUUCCCCCAGUAGCGGCGAGCGAACGGGGAGCAGCCCGGAGUCUGAAUCAGCUUGUGUGUUAGUGGAAGCGUCUGGAAAGUCGCAGGGUACAGGGUGAUACUCCCGUACACUAAAACGCACAGGUUGUGAACUCGAAGAGUAGGGCGGGACACGUGGUAUCCUGUCUGAAUAUGGGGGGACCAUCCUCCAAGGCUAAAUACUCCUGACUGACCGAUAGUGAACCAGUACCGUGAGGGAAAGGCGAAAAGAACCCCGGCGAGGGGAGUGAAAAAGAACCUGAAACCGUGUACGUACAAGCAGUAGGAGCCCACUUGUUGGGUGACUGCGUACCUUUUGUAUAAUGGGUCAGCGACUUAUAUUCUGUAGCAAGGUUAACCGUAUAGGGGAGCCGCAGGGAAACCGAGUCUUAACUGGGCGUUAAGUUGCAGGGUAUAGACCCGAAACCCGGUGAUCUAGCCAUGGGCAGGUUGAAGGUUGGGUAACACUAACUGGAGGACCGAACCGACUAAUGUUGAAAAAUUAGCGGAUGACUUGUGGCUGGGGGUGAAAGGCCAAUCAAACCGGGAGAUAGCUGGUUCUCCCCGAAAGCUAUUUAGGUAGCGCCUCGUGAACUCAUCUUCGGGGGUAGAGCACUGUUUCGGCUAGGGGGUCAUCCCGACUUACCAACCCGAUGCAAACUACGAAUACCGAAGAAUGUUAUCACGGGAGACACACGGCGGGUGCUAACGUCCGUCGUGAAGAGGGAAACAACCCAGACCGCCAGCUAAGGUCCCAAAGUCAUGGUUAAGUGGGAAACGAUGUGGGAAGGCCCAGACAGCCAGGAUGUUGGCUUAGAAGCAGCCAUCAUUUAAAGAAAGCGUAAUAGCUCACUGGUCGAGUCGGCCUGCGCGGAAGAUGUAACGGGGCUAAACCAUGCACCGAAGCUGCGGCAGCGACACUAUGUGUUGUUGGGUAGGGGAGCGUUCUGUAAGCCGUUGAAGGUGGCCUGUGAGGGUUGCUGGAGGUAUCAGAAGUGCGAAUGCUGACAUAAGUAACGAUAAUGCGGGUGAAAAACCCGCACGCCGGAAGACCAAGGGUUCCUGUCCAACGUUAAUCGGGGCAGGGUGAGUCGACCCCUAAGGCGAGGCCGAAAGGCGUAGUCGAUGGGAAACAGGUUAAUAUUCCUGUACUCGGUGUUACUGCGAAGGGGGGACGGAGAAGGCUAUGUUGGCCGGGCGACGGUUGUCCCGGUUUAAGCAUGUAGGCGGAUGUUCCAGGUAAAUCCGGAACGUUAUUAACGCUGAGGUGUGAUGACGAGGCACUACGGUGCUGAAGUGACAAAUGCCCUGCUUCCAGGAAAAGCCUCUAAGCAUCAGGUAACAUCAAAUCGUACCCCAAACCGACACAGGUGGUCAGGUAGAGAAUACCAAGGCGCUUGAGAGAACUCGGGUGAAGGAACUAGGCAAAAUGGUGCCGUAACUUCGGGAGAAGGCACGCUGAUGGUAAGUGAAGCGACUUGCUCGUGGAGCUGAAAUCAGUCGAAGAUACCAGCUGGCUGCAACUGUUUAUUAAAAACACAGCACUGUGCAAACACGAAAGUGGACGUAUACGGUGUGACGCCUGCCCGGUGCCGGAAGGUUAAUUGAUGGGGUUAUCCGUAAGGAGAAGCUCUUGAUCGAAGCCCCGGUAAACGGCGGCCGUAACUAUAACGGUCCUAAGGUAGCGAAAUUCCUUGUCGGGUAAGUUCCGACCUGCACGAAUGGCGUAAUGAUGGCCAGGCUGUCUCCACCCGAGACUCAGUGAAAUUGAACUCGCUGUGAAGAUGCAGUGUACCCGCGGCAAGACGGAAAGACCCCGUGAACCUUUACUAUAGCUUGACACUGAACACUGGUCCUUGAUGUGUAGGAUAGGUGGGAGGCUUUGAAGUGUGGACGCCAGUCUGCAUGGAGCCAUCCUUGAAAUACCACCCUUUAAUGGCUGGUGUUCUAACGUGGGCCCGUAAUCCGGGUUGCGGACAGUGUCUGGUGGGUAGUUUGACUGGGGCGGUCUCCUCCUAAAGAGUAACGGAGGAGCACGAAGGUCAGCUAAUCCUGGUCGGACAUCAGGAGGUUAGUGCAAUGGCAUAAGCUGGCUUGACUGCGAGCGUGACGGCGCGAGCAGGUGCGAAAGCAGGUCAUAGUGAUCCGGUGGUUCUGAAUGGAAGGGCCAUCGCUCAACGGAUAAAAGGUACUCCGGGGAUAACAGGCUGAUACCGCCCAAGAGUUCAUAUCGACGGCGGUGUUUGGCACCUCGAUGUCGGCUCAUCACAUCCUGGGGCUGAAGUAGGUCCCAAGGGUAUGGCUGUUCGCCAUUUAAAGUGGUACGCGAGCUGGGUUUAGAACGUCGUGAGACAGUUCGGUCCCUAUCUGCCGUGGGCGCUGGAGAAUUGAGGGGGGCUGCUCCUAGUACGAGAGGACCGGAGUGGACGCAUCACUGGUGUUCGGGUUGUCAUGCCAAUGGCAUUGCCCGGUAGCUAAAUGCGGAAGAGAUAAGUGCUGAAAGCAUCUAAGCACGAAACUUGCCCCGAGAUGAGUUCUCCCUGACUCCUUGAGAGUCCUGAAGGAACGUUGAAGACGACGACGUUGAUAGGCCGGGUGUGUAAGCGCAGCGAUGCGUUGAGCUAACCGGUACUAAUGAACCGUGAGGCUUAACCUUACAACGCCGAAG
RNAcentral lists this ribosomal RNA (2927 nucleotides) under Klebsiella michiganensis. RNAcentral describes it as "23S ribosomal RNA". It matches the Rfam family "Bacterial large subunit ribosomal RNA". The record is from RNAcentral. Lineage: Bacteria; Pseudomonadati; Pseudomonadota; Gammaproteobacteria; Enterobacterales; Enterobacteriaceae.